Arachis ipaensis is the source of this 1122-nucleotide non-coding RNA. The record is from RefSeq and is a predicted model, not a curated record. NCBI's taxonomy places the organism in Eukaryota, Viridiplantae, Streptophyta, Magnoliopsida, Fabales, Fabaceae.
CAGUUACCACGACUAUACAACGUGGUGGGAUUUGACCUUGUAGAUGAUGAAAGUAAACCUGAAAGGCGUCCAACUAAGCACAUGCCUACACCAGCAGAGUGGACUAAUGAAUUCAAUCCAGCAUACUCUUACCAUCUUUAUUACUGUUAUGCAAACCUCUUCGUGAAUCUAAAGGAAUGGCCACUAUUAAGUUGCGGCCCCAUUACGGAGAGGCAGGCGAUACGGAUCAUUUGGCUACUGCUUUCCUCUUAUGCCAUAAUAUUUCCCAUGGGAUUAAUCUACGAAAAACUCCUGUGUUGCAAUAUUUAUAUUACCUCGCACAGGUUAGCCCCUCAUGGAUAGUCAGUCAUUUGGUCAACAUAACAAUAUCUAUCAUGCUCUAGGUUUCCAAACUAUUUUAUUUCUAGGAGUGAUUUUUCAAGUGGAGGAGCAAGAGGAGGUUGAUAUUGCAAAGGGAUACACUAUGACUCAAUUUUGUGACAAAAUCAUAGAUUUAUUCUUGAAUGAGAAGACCAAAUCAAAGGAAUGGAGGAAGUAUUUGGUAUUCAGGGAGGAAUGGAACAAAUACAGGAACAACUUCUACAAUAGGUGCCAAAAGAGGGCAGACAUGGAGAAAGACCCAACCAUGAAAGAAAAACUCAUUUUAUUGGGGAGAAGGGUGAAGAAGCUUGUGAGAAGAUCAAAAGCCUUGUGAAGGCAAAGGACCUUGAUUCUUCGUUGAUAUUGUUGAUCAAUGGUGCUUGUGCUAAAGCAAAAGAAUCUACCACAAUGAAGGAAGAGGUACUUUAUAAACCAAAGUCUGAAAAAGGCAUUUGGGACGGCUCCUACUGAUCCAACUAUGGACUUGAAUAUGCAACUGUAACUAACUAGAUUGUUGUAAUUUAUUAGAAAUAUGUUGCAAUCUCUUUUCUAAAUCAGUAUGUGCUUUAUGUCUUAAUUCUUGGAAAAAAAAUUGUUGAAUGUGGCCUUGCAUUACAAUUCACAGUGACGCUGAUUCAAAGCUCUCUAGAACUGAAAACAACUUAAGCUAGAGCUUAAAUGUGUGUGUUGUGUCAUUAAAGUGAGUCAUUAAAUAUAAUAAUAAUGAAGUGUUUGCGUUAUAACUUAGUUAUUAAAUAAUAA